UCCGGUGAUGAUGGCGUAAAGGUAACACUCCUUUCCAUACCGAACAGGCAAGUUAAGCUUUACAGCGCCGAUGGUACUUCAGGGGCAGCCUUGUGGGAGAGUAGGACAUCGCCGGGU
Molecule: ribosomal RNA, 117 nt
Filed under: Hathewaya limosa
Lineage: Bacteria; Bacillati; Bacillota; Clostridia; Eubacteriales; Clostridiaceae
Source: RNAcentral